GCGCUUGUAGCUCAGUUGGAUAGAGCAACGGCCUUCUAAGCCGUAGGUCGCGGGUUCGAAUCCUGCCGGGCGCG
This 74-nucleotide transfer RNA is filed under the name Synergistaceae bacterium. RNAcentral's name for it is "tRNA-Arg". It matches the Rfam family "tRNA". From Rfam's summary of the family: Transfer RNA (tRNA) molecules are approximately 80 nucleotides in length. Their secondary structure includes four short double-helical elements and three loops (D, anti-codon, and T loops). Lineage: Bacteria; Thermotogati; Synergistota; Synergistia; Synergistales; Synergistaceae. The record is from RNAcentral.